RNAcentral lists this non-coding RNA (25 nucleotides) under Arabidopsis thaliana (thale cress). Lineage: Eukaryota; Viridiplantae; Streptophyta; Magnoliopsida; Brassicales; Brassicaceae. The record is from RNAcentral.
AGGCCGCCUGCAUUUCUGACUACCA